UAGGGAAUCUUCGGCAAUGGGGGGAACCCUGACCGAGCAACGCCGCGUGAGUGAAGAAGGUUUUCGGAUCGUAAAGCUCUGUUGUUAAGGAAGAACGAGUGUGAGAAUGGAAAGUUCAUACUGUGACGGUACUUAACCAGAAAGGGACGGCUAACUACGUGCCAGCAGCGCGGUAAUACGUAGGUCCCGAGCGUUGUCCGGAUUUAUUGGGCGUAAAGCGAGCGCAGGCGGUUAGAUAAGUCUGAAGUUAAAGGCAGUGGCUCAACCAUUGUAGGCUUUGGAAACUGUUUAACUUGAGUGCAGAAGGGGGGAGUGGAAUUCCAUGUGUAGCGGUGAAAUGCGUAGAUAUAUGGAGGAACACCGGUGGCGAAAGCGGCUCUCUGGUCUGUAACUGACGCUGAGGCUCGAAAGCGUGGGGAGCGAACAGG
RNAcentral lists this ribosomal RNA (428 nucleotides) under Bacteroidota bacterium. Its description in RNAcentral is "Bacteroidetes bacterium partial 16S ribosomal RNA". It matches the Rfam family "Bacterial small subunit ribosomal RNA", at positions 355 to 776 of the family's 1533-position model. Lineage: Bacteria; Pseudomonadati; Bacteroidota. The record is from RNAcentral.